AGGCCAGUUCAGUGAUCUGUGCUUCGAUCAUCAACCAUAGUGAGUAGCUUCAGUCAGCAGUAUUGCUCUUCCUUCCCAAAAUCAUACCCUGGACGCGCCCAAUUCCAUCGAUUAAGGCACUGAACGUGUCUGGUGACCACACCUGCAGAUAUUCCACUUCACCGUGGCCAGGUAUGCUCAGAAAGUUUCUCACCCGUGUGGCUUGUGUUCCAUGAUCUGUACUGGUCAGUGGCUGCUGAUCAAGUGGUUUGUUCAAGCUCUACCGCCAUACGUUGAGUAGAACACGGUCGCGCCGUCGCGGUCGGGCACCGAGGACAGCCUCGGUGUGGACCGUAUUAACCGCGCCAUUCCCGAGCGAUUGCGCGCGCGCACCGUAGACUUGAGAGGUCUCUAAAGCUCCCUGACCCGUUUGUUUGAACACUACCGUGCGGUGAUCGGGGAAUUGAGUUCGUCGGAUCCAGUGUUCCGCCGUCGCUGUCGAUAGAUGGGUUGUGGAGUUCUCAUGGAUCGAUGGAGCCCAUACCCGAGUUCACUGCGAUUCGGGGUUCGCGUGGGUACCAUCGCCGUCGCCGGUGUUGCGCCACCAUGGUCGAGCUGGUGCUGGGUCGCCGGAGUCCGUAUGGGCGGUGUCGGGGCCGAGUGCUUGUAAAUAAGUGGAAGCCAAGGGGUUUUAGCGAGGAUGUCAGAGACACAAGCAACAGUGGCUGGGAGCUCUGAUUGUUUUAACCAGAGCGCAAGGUCCUUUGUGCAAGCUGGCCAAAGCGGGCGCGGUCUCCCGGGUUUGGGCCAGCUUUGCCUGGUUGUUGGACCGCGCCAGCGGUUUGGGCCCAACACUGUUAGUAGUUUUUCCUUUUCUUUUUCCAAUCAGCUUUAGAAAUCCAUAGAAAAUUUCAGAAAAUGCUAAAAAUAUCAAACCAAUUUUGCUAGACUCCUAAUUUCCAUAGUAUUUAAUAAAAAUAGUUUUAUAAUUUUUAGGUCAAAUAAGGAAUUUUGGAGCAUUUAAAAUAGCCUAAAACAUUGGUUCUGGAUUUCUAGAGAAUAGAUAAUUAUUCCAAAAAUGCCCAAACUUUUUAUUUGAACUCUAAACGUUAUUUAGAAGCCUUGGGUAGAUUUUGGUUUGAUUUGGACCUUGUUUGAUAAUUAGAACCCAAAACCCCCACCCCCUGCUCUUUGAACUUCACUGUUGACUCCGGAAACCCUAAGUUCUCGGAGUUCCGUGAAGGAAAGUUGUACUCAAGACAUAGAUAAUAAGUUUAUAUUAUCUUUGCAUCCUCAUGAGCAUCCCAUGGCAUCCAUUCUUAUACCUAUGUAUGGUUAUGAUUAGAACGUGAAGAAGAGAUAGAAGUCACCGAAGACAGGACACCACCACCUUCGGAAUCCCAGGCCGGGAAUUGUUUCUACUUUGAUAUCUGCGGAUCCGAGCCUG
This 1426-nucleotide long non-coding RNA is filed under the name Zea mays. Its description in RNAcentral is "long non-coding RNA (ZMAY_LNC005278)". The record is from RNAcentral. Lineage: Eukaryota; Viridiplantae; Streptophyta; Magnoliopsida; Poales; Poaceae.